Non-coding RNA from Leptonychotes weddellii (Weddell seal), 310 nucleotides. The record is from RefSeq and is a predicted model, not a curated record. NCBI's taxonomy places the organism in Eukaryota, Metazoa, Chordata, Mammalia, Carnivora, Phocidae.
CAGUGCCUUUGUGAAGACCAAACGAGAUGAUGCAAAUAACAUGUUCAACAGAGUUCUUGGCGCAAAGCUUCUAUUGAGAUCUCCUGUCUGUAUGCCAAGACAAGACAGAGCGAGAAAACAUUGAUAAAUUGACGAAACCAUCAUGUGUCCUCUCAUCCGCUUGACUGUGUUACUCCGGGGGACCCUGCUGAGGAGGUGACUUGCUGAAGGCAGUCUUGCUGUGAGAACAGGAGGAACAGCUGUUGAAAGAAGAAGAGAGAGAUUGAAACUGGAAGUUUUGGUGAUAAAAUUGGAUUGAGAGAGAGGCCAC